This 425-nucleotide ribosomal RNA is filed under the name uncultured bacterium. Its description in RNAcentral is "bacterial SSU rRNA". It matches the Rfam family "Bacterial small subunit ribosomal RNA", at positions 354 to 796 of the family's 1533-position model. The record is from RNAcentral.
GUGGGGAAUAUUGGACAAUGGGCGCAAGCCUGAUCCAGCCAUGCCGCGUGAGUGAAGAAGGCCCUAGGGUUGUAAAGCUCUUUCAGCAGGGAAGAUGAUGACGGUACCUGCAGAAGAAGCCCCGGCUAACUCCGUGCCAGCAGCCGCGGUAAUACGGAGGGGGCUAGCGUUGUUCGGAAUUACUGGGCGUAAAGGGCAUGUAGGCGGAUCGGCCAGUCAGAGGUGAAAGCCCUGGGCUCAACCCAGGAACUGCCUUUGAUACUGUCGAUCUAGAGUCCGGGAGAGGAUAGUGGAAUUCCCAGUGUAGAGGUGAAAUUCGUAGAUAUUGGGAAGAACACCAGUGGCGAAGGCGGCUAUCUGGACCGGUACUGACGCUAAGGUGCGAAAGCGUGGGGAGCAAACAGGAUUAGAUACCCCGGUAGUCC